This 497-nucleotide ribosomal RNA is filed under the name uncultured bacterium. RNAcentral's name for it is "partial 16S ribosomal RNA". It matches the Rfam family "Bacterial small subunit ribosomal RNA", at positions 28 to 507 of the family's 1533-position model. The record is from RNAcentral.
GAUGAACGCUGGCGGCGUGCCUAAUACAUGCAGGUCGAGCGAACAGAUAAGGAGCUUGCUCCUUUGACGUUAGCGGCGGACGGGUGAGUAACACGUGGGUAACCUACCUAUAAGACUGGAAUAACUCCGGGAAACCGGGGCUAAUGCCGGAUAACAUUUAGAACCGCAUGGUUCUAAAGUGAAAGAUGGUUUUGCUAUCACUUAUAGAUGGACCCGCGCCGUAUUAGCUAGUUGGUAAGGUAACGGCUUACCAAGGCAACGAUACGUAGCCGACCUGAGAGGGUGAUCGGCCACACUGGAACUGAGACACGGUCCAGACUCCCACGGGAGGCAGCAGUAGGGAAUCUUCCGCAAUGGGCGAAAGCCUGACGGAGCAACGCCGCGUGAGUGAUGAAGGUCUUCGGAUCGUAAAACUCUGUUAUUAGGGAAGAACAAAUGUGUAAGUAACUGUGCACGUCUUGACGGUACCUAAUCAGAAAGCCACGGCUAACUACGUG